Molecule: ribosomal RNA, 954 nt
Filed under: Triticum aestivum (bread wheat)
Lineage: Eukaryota; Viridiplantae; Streptophyta; Magnoliopsida; Poales; Poaceae
Description: partial small subunit ribosomal RNA
Source: RNAcentral
AGAACGGCGAACGCCGACGUGAACGGCGUGUCCCUGCACGUGGCCGAGCAGGGCCCCGCCGACGGCCCGGCGGUGCUCCUCCUACACGGCUUCCCGGAGCUGUGGCUUUCGUGGCGCCACCAGAUGGCCGCUCUUGCCGCGCGCGGCUUCCGCGCCCUGGCCCCCGACCUCCGCGGCUUCGGUGACUCCGACGCUCCGGCUGACCCCGCCGCCUACACCGUCCUCCAUGUCGUUGGCGACAUCGUCGCGCUCCUCGAUCACCUUCGCCUCACCAAGGUGGUGGUAGUGGGGCAUGACUUGGGUGCGCAGGCAGCGUGGCAUCUGUGCCUGUUCCGGCCGGACCGGGUGCUUGCCAUCAUCGCGCUGGGGGUGCCGUACUUCCCACGCUCCCCUCGACCAGUGACGGAGAUGUUCGCGGCGCGUGGCGAUGGGUUCUACAUCACGCAGUACCAGGAGCCCGGAAGAGCUGAAAGGGCAUUCAAUCGGCACGAUGCUGGAACCGUCUUAAAGAAGUUCUACUCCAUUGAAUUAGACGACCUCACUGCUCCUCCUGGAGUGGAGAUGAUAGACUUUUUGGAGGCAUCAUCAUCCCCACUUCCUUGGAUGACUGGGGAAGAACUGGGUCAGUAUGCCGAGAAGUUUCAGAAGUCUGGCUUCACCGGGCCACUCAACUACUACCGCAUGAUGGACACGAAUUGGAUGCUUACCGCGCCAUGGCAUGGCGCGAAGAUCACGGUGCCUGCAAAGUUUAUCGGGGGUGAGAAGGACACUGGUGUCAAGUCCUUUGGAAUCAAACACUACAUCGAGAGCGGAGCUUUCAAGUUCAGUGUUCCAAAUCUUGAGGUCGCCAUCAUUGAAGGUCACCAUUACCUCCAGCAAGAGCAGGCCGAGAAGGUGAACUCUGAGAUAUUCUCCUUCCUGGACAAGUUAUUUGGUGAGGAGACACCGAAAUAG